Molecule: ribosomal RNA, 643 nt
Filed under: uncultured bacterium
Lineage: Bacteria
Description: bacterial SSU rRNA
Rfam family: Bacterial small subunit ribosomal RNA
Source: RNAcentral
CGCGGCCUAUCAGCUUGUUGGUGAGGUAAUGGCUCACCAAGGCGACGACGGGUAGCCGGCCUGAGAGGGCGACCGGCCACACUGGGACUGAGACACGGCCCAGACUCCUACGGGAGGCAGCAGUGGGGAAUAUUGCACAAUGGGCGAAAGCCUGAUGCAGCGACGCCGCGUGAGGGAUGACGGCCUUCGGGUUGUAAACCUCUUUCAGCAGGGAAGAAGCGAAAGUGACGGUACCUGCAGAAGAAGCGCCGGCUAACUACGUGCCAGCAGCCGCGGUAAUACGUAGGGCGCAAGCGUUGUCCGGAAUUAUUGGGCGUAAAGAGCUCGUAGGCGGUCUGUCGCGUCGGAUGUGAAAUCCCGUGGCUCAACUGCGGGUCUGCAGCCGAUACGGGCAGGCUAGAGUUCGGUAGGGGAGACUGGAAUUCCUGGUGUAGCGGUGAAAUGCGCAGAUAUCAGGAGGAACACCGAUGGCGAAGGCAGGUCUCUGGGCCGAUACUGACGCUGAGGAGCGAAAGCGUGGGGAGCGAACAGGAUUAGAUACCCUGGUAGUCCACGCUGUAAACGUUGGGCGCUAGGUGUGGGGGACCUCUCCGGUUCUCUGUGCCGCAGCUAACGCAUUAAGCGCCCCGCCUGGGGAGUACGG